This 600-nucleotide ribosomal RNA is filed under the name uncultured Alphaproteobacteria bacterium. Its description in RNAcentral is "bacterial SSU rRNA". It matches the Rfam family "Bacterial small subunit ribosomal RNA", at positions 54 to 699 of the family's 1533-position model. Lineage: Bacteria; Pseudomonadati; Pseudomonadota; Alphaproteobacteria. The record is from RNAcentral.
CAUGCAAGUCGAACGAAGUAGCAAUACUUAGUGGCAGACGGGUGAGUAACAUGUAGGUAUCUGCCCUUUGGCCUGGAAUAACACGAGGAAACUUGUGCUAAUACCGGAUAAGUCUUUACGGAGAAAGCUUUAUGCACCAUUGGAUGAGCCUGCACUUGAUUAGUUUGUUGGUGGGGUAAUGGCCUACCAAGACUUUGAUCAAUAGCUGAUUUGAGAGGGUGAUCAGCCACAUUGGGACUGAGACACGGCCCAAACUCCUACGGGAGGCAGCAGUGGGGAAUCUUGCACAAUGGAGGAAACUCUGAUGCAGCGAUGCCGCGUGAGUGAAGAAGGCCUUUGGGUUGUAAAGCUCUUUCGUCGGGGAAGAAAAUGACUGUACCCGAAUAAGAAGGUCCGGCUAACUUCGUGCCAGCAGCCGCGGUAAUACGAAGGGACCUAGCGUAGUUCGGAAUUACUGGGCUUAAAGAGUUCGUAGGUGGUUGAAAAAGUUGGUGGUGAAAUCCCAGAGCUUAACUCUGGAACUGCCAUCAAAACUUUUCAGCUAGAGUUUGAUAGAGGAAAGCAGAAUUUCUAGUGUAGAGGUGAAAUUCGUAGAUAUUA